Molecule: non-coding RNA, 23 nt
Filed under: Arabidopsis thaliana (thale cress)
Lineage: Eukaryota; Viridiplantae; Streptophyta; Magnoliopsida; Brassicales; Brassicaceae
Source: RNAcentral
UAAAAUUGAUACGUAAUAAUUGC